AUAGAGAAUUAGUGUAUUAGGACCAAUGAAAUCUAUACUUUCAGAUAUGGGAAUAUUGCCAGACACACCAUAACCUACUUACUGCAACAUAUGAGCAGAAUUCCUACCAGGCUAUAAAAUGUUAAGCCUAUCCACCUUUAUAUGAGCGAUUGCUUUUGUUUAUUAAUUGCUUGCAGCUUUUUAUAUUGGGAAUUUGGAAAAUAGAGAUUUUUUGGGUGGUGGAUGGGGUUCGUAAUUAGACAUUGGCUACCUCUGCAUGCUUGCCUUUCUCUAAUGUCUUCACAAGGCCAGCCUGACGACAAAUCUGAGCAGCGAUUUCAUUGUGAGGUAGACCAGCAGCAGAAAAGAGAGGAAUAAUCUUUCGCCCAUCGCCGAGGGAGUCCAACCACCUGCAUCGGCCUUCGCCCACCGCCGAGCGGCGCCAACAAACACGGCCGUCCUCUACGUCGGAGGUCGAUUCCGAUGCGAUGCUGAUCUUCCAACCUACGCCGCCGCGCUGACACGUCCCGCCCUAAAACGCGACGUUACGGCGAGCUUCGCUUCGUCCGGCCGACGCUCAGCGAUGUCGCGCACAGUCGUUGAUUAGAAGAACAUAAUUGGCGCCGCCACCAGACGCAGGACAACAUCACGCUCUGGGCGGACGUUUGACGACCUCGCGCUGUACUUCAACGGCGCAACCAGGCCGCCGACCACCAUCUACGCCCAUGGCGCAACACGGCAGCUACGACCAUCGUGUUCCACUAGGGGACAUAACGAACCCACAGAUCCGACAACCUGUUUCUAGGAAAAGGACAAGAGAUUCAGAAAACGAUGCUGAUCUAAAAGCUGAUAGGCCGAAAAAAGCAAGAGAUCGUUAUGAGAAUAUGCCACCAGAAAAGAAAGUAGAACUUAAUGCAAAGAGAAGGCAAAACUAUCAGCAAAAACAGACAGAGAAACGAUCUCUAGGUUUGUUACAUGUUGAUUGAUGUUAUUUGUAAUUUUCAUGCCUAAAUAUAUUGUGUGAUGCAUAUAAUAUGAGAGUUGAUUCCAGCAAUGAUGAAUACACCCCAGUCAGGAGCAGGGGCGGAUACAGGAGGGGGGCUAGGGGGGCUCAAGCCCCCCUAAGCUCUCCUAAUUACACGUAAAACACUGUAGCAAGACAUCCAAAUCACCAUUAAAUCUUCACACAAAUCAACAUCUCUAUUGUUUCAGCCCCCCUUGCCUCCAAUCCUGCAUCCGCCACUGGUCAGGAGUGUCACAUGUAGAUGGGACCCCAAGUUUUAAUGAGACACCUCGUUCUACCAUGAUCCACAGUGUUGCAACUGCAGGUUAUGCAUAAUUUCUUAUACUUUAAUUAUGAAGAAAAUGGGCACUUAAUGUUUUUUUUUUUACCGGUGAUAGGACUGACAGGCUUUCCGUCUUCAGCAUUGGGGCAUGUGGAUGCAUCUACAAUCUCGGCUGCUGGUGUUGCGGAAAGUGAGCAAGAAUACGUGCUCAUGGAUCAUCAUGAAGCUGCAUUGACGGAUACACCACAUUCAGCAGUGUUACAUGUUGAUGGCAUCUCAUCUUUCAUGAAGACACCACAGACGCCAGUUACCCCCGUCGGUGGUUUAGCAGGACUAACAGACUACCCACCUUCGGCACUGUUGCAUGUGGGUGAAUCUGCAGUUUACAAUAGAACUACUGGUUUAGGCGCAAACGAGCAAUUUGAAGUGCCCAUAAAUCAACAUGAAACUGAUGAUGGUGCCACUAUCUCGCCCAGAAGUGCAAGAAAAUAAAAGAAAAGAGAUAUGGACCGAAUUAGGUGGGCAAUGACCUCAAAUGAAAAAAAGGACUGAAAUGAAUGCCAGACGAAAGGAACAAUAUAAUAGUAAAAAGAAUGAAGGUGUAAACUUUGGGAAACAAAAAUUUGACUCUGGUAUUUGGGAACCUGAUGAUGGUUUGUUUGCCGCACAAGCAGAGGAGGAUCUGGAUUGCAUGGCACCAGAUUGUGGCCCUGAUCUUGAUGAUUUCACAGAUGACGAAGCAAGAGUCUAUCAUGCUAAUGACAUCAAGAUCGUCUCGUUCAGGGAACCGGAAGUGGUUAUCUUGGAUAAUGAUCCUUAUUCAAGAGUAUACAAUGAUCUGCCUGCUGGUCAUCUUGUGUUGAGGAAAAUACCUAUAUGCGAGUAUUGCGGUGCUAUAAGGUUACCAAACGAGGGGCUCAAUUUUUGUUGCAGGCAAGGAAAGGUUAAUAUAGUGAGCACACCAAUUCCGUCUGAUCUGUGUCGCCUAUUUACAAGCCAGACAGAUAGAGAUGCCUUGUAUUUCAGAAAAAAUAUACGGUACUUCAAUUCUCAUUUUUCAUUCACAAGCUUUGGAGCUAAUGUGGACCAUAAAGUCGCUACUGCAGCUGGUACUUGUAUAUAUACUUUCAAAGUGCAUGGACAGAUUUACCACAGAUUGGACCAACUGAGACUGGGGAAAGAAGGCCCCCAUCAUAUGCAGUUGUACUUCUAUGACACUGAUGAGACCCUAUCACAAAGAACCAAAAGAUCACCCCAUCUUGAUUCAAAAUAGAUUAGGGCUAUUCUUCGAAUACUUGAGAACAAUCCGUAUGUUCGUGUUUUCAGGACUGUGGGUCAGAUGAAAAAAUUGGACGAGUUGAAGAUUGAAUUGAACACUAGUAUUUCUGUUGAUCAGAGAAGAUAUAAUGCACCUGCUAUGAACCAGGGUGCGGCUAUCUGGCAGGAUGGCUUUGAUGAAAAAAAAACAAAUUUAAACGGAGUAUUAUGGUUUUUCCAAAUUCUUUGGGACCAUAAUUUAUACGGGCAUUCCAUGGUUGUUAUGAUCUGUUAGCGUACCCUAUCCUAUAUCCCGGUGGUGAGACUGGCUGUGAGGACAAGAGUAUAUUGUUGGAGGAAACACCUACAAUACGCUUUUCGAGAACUAGACGGAAAUAUACAAAGCGGAAAUCUGAGGAUGCUCCGAAGGGAAAUUCUCAGGUGACAUGUAGAUCGGGUGUUAAACGGAGACUUGUAGAAACAACAAUUCAAGAUAUUUGUGAGGAACAAGGUGACUGUGACGACAACAUAGAUGAAGACGGUGAAGGAGGAGGUAGUGGAAAACGUUUGCAUGUCAGCGCAAGGGAGUAUUAUUGCUAUAUGAUGCAGAUCCGAAAUGGAGUUUUUAAUAUAUUCUUUCAUGGUGGGAGGCUUUUUCAGCAAUGGAUAGUGGAUAUAUAUGUCAAAAUAGAAAGUAUGCGGUUAGAUUGGUACUCCAAUCCAGAACACCAAAAAAUUAUUAGAGCGGAUCUCUAUCAGGGUAUAAUGGACACCCUUGCUGCCGGAGAGCAUAGAGGUCUGAAGGCUGGUAAAUUGGUUGUUUUAUCUAAGAAUUUUCCUAGAAGUGAUAGAGAUGUGCAGUGCAGAUUCAUGGAUGCAAUGUCAUUAGUAGCUAAAUAUGGAAAGCCAGAUUACUUUUUAACCAUGACUUGCAACCCGUACUGGCCGGAGAUCACAGAACUUUUGUUGCCUGGGCAGACACCUUAAGAUAGACCAGAUAUUGUGGCGAGGGUUUAUCAUGCAAAACUCAUUGAUUUCCAUGACUUUGUUAUUAAGAAGAGGUUCUUUGGGAAAGUGGCAGCUUGGGCACACGUUACUGAGUUUCAGAAAAGAGGUUUGCCGCAUGAACAUUUCUUGCUUAUAAUGGACAACAGUUCAAAGCUUAGUGGGCCAGAUGAUUUUGACAAAUAUAUUUCAGCAGAACUUUCGGAUGAAAGGAAAUACCCUCUUCUCCAUGAACUUGUUUGCAAACAUAUGAUGCAUGGCCCUUGUGGUGUUCUUAACAGAAAUUGUGGUUGCAUGCAGGAUGGUGCUUGCCGUUUCAGAUACCCUAAACAGUUCAGUGAGACCACAGAGCAAGGAAAGGAUGCAUAUCCUAUAUACAGAAGACGGAAUGAUGGUCACAAGGUAUUUGUGCGUAAAAAUGGUUGGAUAAUAGUUGGGUUGUACCAUAUAAUCCAACACUCCUGAUGAGAUAUAAUUGUCACAUCAAUGUUGAAGUUUCAAGCAGUAUCAAAGGUUGCAAGUAUCUUUAUAAAUAUGUAUACAAGGGCACGGACUGUGCAUGAUUCGCAAUUGCGAAUCAAGACCAGAAUGGAGAGAUAGAGAUAAAUGAAAUUAAAUAGUGCAGGAAGGCACGGUGUAUAACGUCUAUUGAAGCAGUAUACCGGCUCUAUAGGUUCCCAAUGUUUUUCAUGUAUCCCCUUGUUUUACAGAUGCAAGUUCAUCUUCCUGGCAUGUAUAUGGUCCCAUUCAAUGAUGAAGACAACCUUGCAGAUGUGCUGGAGCGCAUUAGGAACCAAAGAUCGAUGCUAACAGAAUUCUUUAGAAUGAACAGCAAAGAUCCAAACGCUCGAAGAUACUUAUACAGGGAAUUUUAUACAUGGAAUAAGUCCAAAAAAGUUUGGUCUACUAGAAAAAGAAGUUACCAGAUUGGAAGGUUGGUGUAUGCGUACCCGUCUGAGGGCGAAAGAUUCUAUCUUCGAGUUCUUCUAAAUCAUGUUCGAGGUCCAACAUCAUUCAUAUCAAUCAGAACAGUUCAUGGUGUGGUGAGUCCUACUUUUAGAGAAUGUUGUGGGAAACUUGGUCUUGUUGAAACAGAUAGGUCACUCGACAAUGCACUUAGCGAAGAAGUAGCUUUUCAGAUGCCAUGUGCUCUCAGAAAAAUGUUUGCCACUAUUAUGGUUUUGAGUACACAAACAUUCGUACCCUCUGGGAUAAACAUUUUGACUCAAUGGCUGAGGACUAUGUGCGGGUUCAUGGAAAUUCUUCAAGUGUUGAACAAUUUGUCUUUAGGGACAUCGCGAUAUUCUCUCCUCGAUGGGUAAAGACAUCAGAAAUUACGGCCUGUCACAUAUGCAUCAGUCUGAUGAGACAAAUAGAGAUUAUUAUAGGGAACUAACUGAGGAGAGGAAAAUUGUUGUAUCUGAUGAAGAUAUUAAAUUAGCCGAGUCUCUCAAUACUGAGCAAAUGAAAGGUUUUAACGAAAUUUUUUAUUAUGUUAUCAGAAAUAAAGGGAAAGUUUUCUUUGUGGAUGGUUCUGGCGGGACCGGCAAGACAUAUCUUUACAGAGCUCUUUUGGCCAAAGUUCGAUCUACGGACCGCAUCGCAGUGGCUACAGCUACAUCCGGUAUUGCAGCAUCCAUCAUGCCUGGUGGUCGUACGGCUCAUUCGAGGUUCAAAAUUCCCAUAAAACUUCAAAAUAAUUCUAUUUGCAAUUUUACGUGAGGCAUCUUUAAUUAUAUGGGAUGAGGUUGCGAUGACACAAAGGCAGGCUAUGGAAACACUUGACAGAUCGUUACGGAAUAUUACAGGAUGUGAUUUACCGUUUGGUGGUAAAGUAAUGGUAUUUGAAGGAGAUUUCAGACAAGUUCUACCUGUUGUUCCUAGAGAUACUAGAGCACAAAUUUGUGACGCUACCUUGCUUCAAUCCUAUAUAUGGGAUGAUAUCAAGAUAAUACGGCUGAAGCAGAACAUGAGGGCCCAGAAUGAUGUAUGGUUCUCGCAGUUUCUAUUAAGAAUUGGUGAUGGAACAGAAAAGACCUUCCCAAAUGAUUAUGUGGAUCUACCAGAUGACAUUAUGCUUGAGUAUAAUGAUGAUCAGUCUAUUGAUACUCUCAUCGAUCAUGUGUUUCCUGAUCUAGCUAACAGUUGCACCUCCAUCAGUUACAUGCGCGAGCAUGCUAUCUUGUCAACAAGAAAUGAGUAUGUUGAUAGCCUCAACGCGAUGAUGAUUGCAAAGUUUCCUGGAGCAGAAAAGAUUUAAUACAGUCAUGAUUCUGUAGAUGAUGACUCAACUAAUAACUAUUCUCUUGAUUUUCUGAACUCAAUUACUCCAAAUGGUCUUCCUCCGCAUGAUUUUAAAAUUAAGAAGAACUAUCCAGUCAUACUUCUUCGAAAUCUAGAUCCUCAUCAUGGACUGUGCAAUGGAACUCGACUUAUAGUGAAGGCUUUUGAGAACAAUGCAAUUGAUUGUGAAAUUGUAAAUGGAUAGCAUGCUGGAAAUCGAGUUUUUAUACCAAGGAUUCCCUUGUUUCCAUCAGAGGAUAUUUCACUACCUUUCAAGUUCAAGAGGAAACAAUUUCCAAUAAGACUCAGUUUUGCAAUGACUAUAAAUAAAACUCAGGGUCAAACUAUACCAAAUGUUGGGAUCUAUCUUCCAGAGCCUGUUUUCUCUCAUGGACAACUAUAUGCUGUCUUAUCAAGAUGUGUUUCACGUUCAACUACAUGGAUGCUAGCUAAACCUAACAAAGAUCUUGAUCCCACCGGCAGAAGAACCAAAAAUAUUAUUUUUAGAGAUAUUCUACGGUCUUCAAAAUGAAGUGACACCGGAGUCCAUCAUAAAUGGGAUAUGAGUUGGAAAUUAAAUUCUGGCGACAUGGUGUGAAGAUUCUGCAUCAUUAAAUUUUUAUAAUAUGUAUGUUAGAUGUAGCAUUCAUAUGUGGAUUUUCUGAAAAAAAGAUGUGCUACAAUCAAGAUAUGACCAAUGUAAAUAUUUUAUUCUUACCUUUACCCUUCUAUAUAAUUCUUGCGAUGUCAUUAAUGGGUUGUAUGCAUAUAUGGUCAUGUCCAUAUGAUCUGUAUAUCUCAAAAUUUUCAUUUUGGGUAAAUUUGUAUCGAAUAAUGUACUAAAUAUUGUAUCCACAAGCUAAUGGUAGAUGUGGCUAUGAAUACAUAUUUUUUGUAACAUAAUUAUUUUAUUUGGUUUUUUUAAAACACGUGCAUGCCGCACGUGCACCCCUACUAGUCGAACUAAUGAUUUGGUUUCGGGGCC
This is a long non-coding RNA of Panicum virgatum (switchgrass), 6795 nucleotides long. RefSeq lists it as uncharacterized. Lineage: Eukaryota; Viridiplantae; Streptophyta; Magnoliopsida; Poales; Poaceae. The record is from RefSeq and is a predicted model, not a curated record. The transcript has 16 exons.